CAGCCGCCGCGGUAAUACGAAGGGGGCUAGCGUUGUUCGGAUUUACUGGGCGUAAAGGGCGCGUAGGCGGGCGAAUAAGUCAGGGGUGAAAUCCCAAGGCUCAACCUUGGAACUGCCUUUGAUACUGUUUGUCUUGAGUCCGGGAGAGGUGAGUGGAACUGCGAGUGUAGAGGUGAAAUUCGUAGAUAUUCGCAAGAACACCAGUGGCGAAGGCGGCUCACUGGCCCGGAACUGACGCUGAGGCGCGAAAGCGUGGGGAGCAAACAGGAUUAGAUACCCCCGUAGUCCCUGUCUCUUAUAC
Molecule: ribosomal RNA, 301 nt
Filed under: uncultured bacterium
Lineage: Bacteria
Description: partial 16S ribosomal RNA
Rfam family: Bacterial small subunit ribosomal RNA
Source: RNAcentral